RNAcentral lists this ribosomal RNA (460 nucleotides) under uncultured bacterium. RNAcentral's name for it is "partial 16S ribosomal RNA". It matches the Rfam family "Bacterial small subunit ribosomal RNA", at positions 338 to 795 of the family's 1533-position model. The record is from RNAcentral.
CCUACGGGAGGCAGCAGUGAGGAAUAUUGGUCAAUGGCCGUAAGGCUGAACCAGCCAAGUCGCGUGAAGGAAGAAGGAUCUAUGGUUUGUAAACUUCUUUUAUAGGGGAAUAAAGGUAUCCACGUGUGGAUAUUUGCAUGUACCCUAUGAAUAAGCAUCGGCUAACUCCGUGCCAGCAGCCGCGGUAAUACGGAGGAUGCGAGCGUUAUCCGGAUUUAUUGGGUUUAAAGGGUGCGUAGGUUGUUUUUUAAGUCAGCGGUGAAAGUUUGUGGCUCAACCAUAAAAUUGCCGUUGAAACUGGAAGACUUGAGUAUGGUUGAGGUAGGCGGAAUGCGUGGUGUAGCGGUGAAAUGCAUAGAUAUCACGCAGAACUCCGAUUGCGAAGGCAGCUUACUAAGCCAUAACUGACACUGAAGCACGAAAGCGUGGGGAGCAAACAGGAUUAGAUACCCUUGUAGUC